UGCCUACGGGGGGCAGCAGUGGGGGAUAUUGCACAAUGGAGGAAACUCUGAUGCAGCAACGCCGCGUGAGGGAAGAAGGUCUUCGGAUUGUAAACCUUAGUAGUCAGGGACGAAAGAAAUGACGGUACCUGAAGAGUAAGCUCCGGCUAACUACGUGCCAGCAGCCGCGGUAAUACGUAGGGAGCGAGCGUUGUCCGGAUUUACUGGGUGUAAAGGGUGCGUAGGCGGGACUGCAAGUCAGACGUGAAAUACCGAGGCUUAACUUCGGGGCUGCGUUUGAAACUGUGGUUCUUGAGUGAAGUAGAGGCAGGCGGAAUUCCUAGUGUAGCGGUGAAAUGCGUAGAUAUUAGGAGGAACACCAGUGGCGAAGGCGGCCUGCUGGGCUUUAACUGACGCUGAAGCACGAAAGCAUGGGGAGCAAACAGGAUUAGAUACCCCAGUAGUC
Molecule: ribosomal RNA, 445 nt
Filed under: uncultured Oscillospiraceae bacterium
Lineage: Bacteria; Bacillati; Bacillota; Clostridia; Eubacteriales; Oscillospiraceae
Description: bacterial SSU rRNA
Rfam family: Bacterial small subunit ribosomal RNA
Source: RNAcentral